This 1470-nucleotide ribosomal RNA is filed under the name metagenome. RNAcentral describes it as "bacterial SSU rRNA". It matches the Rfam family "Bacterial small subunit ribosomal RNA". The record is from RNAcentral.
AGAGUUUGAUCCUGGCUCAGGACGAACGCUGGCGGCACGCUUAACACAUGCAAGUCGAACGAGAGAAGAGGAGCUUGCUUUUCUGAUCUAGUGGCGGACGGGUGAGUAACACGUGAGCAAUCUGCCUUUCAGAGGGGGAUACCGAUUGGAAACGAUCGUUAAUACCGCAUAACAUAAUUGAACCGCAUGAUUUGAUUAUCAAAGAUUUAUCGCUGAAAGAUGAGCUCGCGUCUGAUUAGCUAGUUGGUAAGGUAACGGCUUACCAAGGCGACGAUCAGUAGCCGGACUGAGAGGUUGAUCGGCCACAUUGGGACUGAGACACGGCCCAGACUCCUACGGGAGGCAGCAGUGGGGAAUAUUGCACAAUGGAGGAAACUCUGAUGCAGCGAUGCCGCGUGAGGGAAGAAGGUUUUAGGAUUGUAAACCUCUGUCUUCAGGGACGAAAAAAGACGGUACCUGAGGAGGAAGCUCCGGCUAACUACGUGCCAGCAGCCGCGGUAAUACGUAGGGAGCGAGCGUUGUCCGGAAUUACUGGGUGUAAAGGGAGCGUAGGCGGGAUCGCAAGUCAGAUGUGAAAACUAUGGGCUUAACCCAUAAACUGCAUUUGAAACUGUGGUUCUUGAGUGAAGUAGAGGUAAGCGGAAUUCCUAGUGUAGCGGUGAAAUGCGUAGAUAUUAGGAGGAACAUCAGUGGCGAAGGCGGCUUACUGGGCUUUAACUGACGCUGAGGCUCGAAAGCGUGGGGAGCAAACAGGAUUAGAUACCCUGGUAGUCCACGCCGUAAACGAUGAUUACUAGGUGUGGGGGGACUGACCCCUUCCGUGCCGCAGCAAACGCAAUAAGUAAUCCACCUGGGGAGUACGACCGCAAGGUUGAAACUCAAAGGAAUUGACGGGGGCCCGCACAAGCAGUGGAGUAUGUGGAUUAAUUCGAAGCAACGCAAAGAACCUUACCAGGUCUUGACAUCGUAUGCAUAGCUCAGAGAUGAGUGAAAUCUCUUCGGAGACAUAUAGACAGGUGGUGCAUGGUUGUCGUCAGCUCGUGUCGUGAGAUGUUGGGUUAAGUCCCGCAACGAGCGCAACCCUUACUGUUAGUUGCUACGCAAGAGCACUCUAGCAGGACUGCCGUUGACAAAACGGAGGAAGGUGGGGAUGACGUCAAAUCAUCAUGCCCCUUAUGACCUGGGCCUCACACGUACUACAAUGGCUGUCAACAGAGGGAAGCAAAGCCGCGAGGUGGAGCGAACCCCUAAAAGCAGUCUUAGUUCGGAUUGUAGGCUGCAACCCGCCUACAUGAAGUCGGAAUUGCUAGUAAUCGCAGAUCAGCAUGCUGCGGUGAAUACGUUCCCGGGCCUUGUACACACCGCCCGUCACGCCAUGGGAGUCGGUAACACCCGAAGCCUGUAGUCUAACCGCAAGGAGGACGCAGUCGAAGGUGGGAUUGAUGACUGGGGUGAAGUCGUAACAAGGUA